This 706-nucleotide long non-coding RNA is filed under the name Vitis vinifera (wine grape). Its description in RNAcentral is "long non-coding RNA (VVIN_LNC008245)". Lineage: Eukaryota; Viridiplantae; Streptophyta; Magnoliopsida; Vitales; Vitaceae. The record is from RNAcentral.
CACGCUCUCCAUACACCUGGAGACGAGCCUGAAUCGUUCGCUUUCAAUUCAUAGGAAAAGAAUUCAAGCCAAUGAUUGGCUACGUGUCGCUUUCUCCUCUACCCCUUUCUUCAAUUCCUAGGAAAAGAAUAGUUUUUCAACAUCUCAUUUUGGUGGCUCUGGAUUCUCAGAUCAGCAAUGCAUAAAAAAUAUAAAAUACUUUUCAUAUCUACACACGGAAAUUAAUAACAAUAACAAUUCAUAAUAUUUGGCUUUGACCAUAACACCACAACAAAAGUUUGGGUUUUACAUCUUACACUGAAUGUUCAAAAUCCACCGAGGAAAAACAAAUUCAACACAAAACACAACCCCUCCCCACAAAUUACACAACUGUAAAAGACCCCAAGAAUUUGAUCCCCAUCUGAACCACUAGAAUUUCUACUACCCCAGACUAGCAUGGUGAUAACAAUGGAUAACGUCAGUCUGAGAUCAGAGGUCUCAGUAAGUUGUUACUGGUGAGAUGCAUCCGAGAGGGGCAUUGUUCCAGAUAAGAGUCUUAUAGCCCGACAUCCCCCACCAUUAGUCAGAUUUGAGAUCUUGAGUAAGGUUCUGGUAUGAGACUCCAUUUUGUUGGCCAUUGCUUUUCAAAUCCUCUUUCAACUGAAUUACAUCGACAGAGAAACAUUAGAAAGAUUCAUUCAACCCAUUGCAGGACGCUUAGUGGACU